RNAcentral lists this long non-coding RNA (283 nucleotides) under Carica papaya (papaya). Its description in RNAcentral is "long non-coding RNA (CPAP_LNC010667)". Lineage: Eukaryota; Viridiplantae; Streptophyta; Magnoliopsida; Brassicales; Caricaceae. The record is from RNAcentral.
UUAUAAAGAAGAUCCGAUAGAGAUUGUUUGGGAGAAGAAAUACAAUGUUGACUUGAAAAUGCUUGAAGGGUUUCAUGAUGAGUUGACUAAGAUAAAUACAUUAGGUUUUCUGAAAGUGGAGAUUGUAAUUUACUCUAGACAAAAUAGACUCCAUUAAUAGAAAGUGGAGAUUGGAAAGUCUCGAAGAGGAAAGGACAUGGGAUUAGAAGAGGAUAAUUUGCUCGCCCUCUUUGUUGAGACCUUUGACCUUGGUACAUAUCUGCAUAGUCGUAUCUUGUAUGAU